UGAGGAAUAUUGGUCAAUGGGCGCUAGCCUGAACCAGCCAAGUAGCGUGAAGGAUGAAGGCUCUAUGGGUCGUAAACUUCUUUUAUAUAAGAAUAAAGUGCAGUAUGUAUACUGUUUUGUAUGUAUUAUAUGAAUAAGGAUCGGCUAACUCCGUGCCAGCAGCCGCGGUAAUACGGAGGAUCCGAGCGUUAUCCGGAUUUAUUGGGUUUAAAGGGAGCGUAGGUGGACUGGUAAGUCAGUUGUGAAAGUUUGCGGCUCAACCGUAAAAUUGCAGUUGAUACUGUCAGUCUUGAGUACAGUAGAGGUGGGCGGAAUUCGUGGUGUAGCGGUGAAAUGCUUGGCUAUCACGAAGAACUCCGAUUGCGAAGGCAGCUCACUGGACUGCAACUGACACUGAUGCUCGAAAGUGUGGGUAUCAAACAGG
RNAcentral lists this ribosomal RNA (424 nucleotides) under Acidobacteriota bacterium. RNAcentral describes it as "Acidobacteria bacterium partial 16S ribosomal RNA". It matches the Rfam family "Bacterial small subunit ribosomal RNA", at positions 355 to 776 of the family's 1533-position model. The record is from RNAcentral. Lineage: Bacteria; Pseudomonadati; Acidobacteriota.